Long non-coding RNA from Octopus sinensis (East Asian common octopus), 146 nucleotides. RefSeq lists it as uncharacterized. The record is from RefSeq and is a predicted model, not a curated record. The transcript has 3 exons. Lineage: Eukaryota; Metazoa; Mollusca; Cephalopoda; Octopoda; Octopodidae.
CUCUCCAGCCAGGUUCGAAAUUUCCCCAAGACACCUGAUGAAGGCUGGAGCGUAUAUCAGCCGAAACGUUGUGUUAGCAACAAAAAAGAUGAGAACAGAUAUUCGUCAAAUGUAGAUAAUGUUAACAAUGUAAAUAAUGAUUUCUU